This 472-nucleotide ribosomal RNA is filed under the name uncultured bacterium. Its description in RNAcentral is "bacterial SSU rRNA". It matches the Rfam family "Bacterial small subunit ribosomal RNA", at positions 28 to 517 of the family's 1533-position model. The record is from RNAcentral.
GACGAACGCUGGCGGCGUGCUUAACACAUGCAAGUCGAACGGUGACCCGGAGCUUGCUCCGGUGAUCAGUGGCGAACGGGUGAGUAACACGUGGGCAAUCUGCCCCUGACUUCGGAAUAACUCCUCGAAAGAGGAGCUAAUACCGGAUACGACCACUUCGGGCAUCCGAUGGUGGUAGAAAGUUUCUCGGUCAGGGAUGAGCCCGCGGCCUAUCAGCUUGUUGGUGGGGUAACGGCCCACCAAGGCGACGACGGGUAGCCGGCCUGAGAGGGCGACCGGCCACACUGGGACUGAGACACGGCCCAGACUCCUACGGGAGGCAGCAGUGGGGAAUAUUGCGCAAUGGGCGAAAGCCUGACGCAGCGACGCCGCGUGAGGGAUGACGGUCUUCGGAUUGGUAAACCUCUUUCAGCAGGGACGAAAUUGACGGUACCUGCAGAAGAAGCACCGGCUAACUACGUGCCAGCAGCCG